This 1528-nucleotide ribosomal RNA is filed under the name Klebsiella pneumoniae. RNAcentral describes it as "bacterial SSU rRNA". It matches the Rfam family "Bacterial small subunit ribosomal RNA". Lineage: Bacteria; Pseudomonadati; Pseudomonadota; Gammaproteobacteria; Enterobacterales; Enterobacteriaceae. The record is from RNAcentral.
AGAGUUUGAUCAUGGCUCAGAUUGAACGCUGGCGGCAGGCCUAACACAUGCAAGUCGAGCGGUAGCACAGAGAGCUUGCUCUCGGGUGACGAGCGGCGGACGGGUGAGUAAUGUCUGGGAAACUGCCUGAUGGAGAGGGAUAACUACUGGAAACGGUAGCUAAUACCGCAUAACGUCGCAAGACCAAAGUGGGGGACCUUCGGGCCUCAUGCCAUCAGAUGUGCCCAGAUGGGAUUAGCUAGUAGGUGAGGUAACGGCUCACCUAGGCGACGAUCCCUAGCUGGUCUGAGAGGAUGACCAGCCACACUGGAACUGAGACACGGUCCAGACUCCUACGGGAGGCAGCAGUGGGGAAUAUUGCACAAUGGGCGCAAGCCUGAUGCAGCCAUGCCGCGUGUGUGAAGAAGGCCUUCGGGUUGUAAAGCACUUUCAGCGGGGAGGAAGGCGUUAAGGUUAAUAACCUUGGCGAUUGACGUUACCCGCAGAAGAAGCACCGGCUAACUCCGUGCCAGCAGCCGCGGUAAUACGGAGGGUGCAAGCGUUAAUCGGAAUUACUGGGCGUAAAGCGCACGCAGGCGGUCUGUCAAGUCGGAUGUGAAAUCCCCGGGCUUAACCUGGGAACUGCAUUCGAAACUGGCAGGCUAGAGUCUUGUAGAGGGGGGUAGAAUUCCAGGUGUAGCGGUGAAAUGCGUAGAGAUCUGGAGGAAUACCGGUGGCGAAGGCGGCCCCCUGGACAAAGACUGACGCUCAGGUGCGAAAGCGUGGGGAGCAAACAGGAUUAGAUACCCUGGUAGUCCACGCCGUAAACGAUGUCGAUUUGGAGGUUGUGCCCUUGAGGCGUGGCUUCCGGAGCUAACGCGUUAAAUCGACCGCCUGGGGAGUACGGCCGCAAGGUUAAAACUCAAAUGAAUUGACGGGGGCCCGCACAAGCGGUGGAGCAUGUGGUUUAAUUCGAUGCAACGCGAAGAACCUUACCUGGUCUUGACAUCCACAGAACUUAGCAGAGAUGCUUUGGUGCCUUCGGGAACUGUGAGACAGGUGCUGCAUGGCUGUCGUCAGCUCGUGUUGUGAAAUGUUGGGUUAAGUCCCGCAACGAGCGCAACCCUUAUCCUUUGUUGCCAGCGGUCCGGCCGGGAACUCAAAGGAGACUGCCAGUGAUAAACUGGAGGAAGGUGGGGAUGACGUCAAGUCAUCAUGGCCCUUACGACCAGGGCUACACACGUGCUACAAUGGCAUAUACAAAGAGAAGCGACCUCGCGAGAGCAAGCGGACCUCAUAAAGUAUGUCGUAGUCCGGAUUGGAGUCUGCAACUCGACUCCAUGAAGUCGGAAUCGCUAGUAAUCGUAGAUCAGAAUGCUACGGUGAAUACGUUCCCGGGCCUUGUACACACCGCCCGUCACACCAUGGGAGUGGGUUGCAAAAGAAGUAGGUAGCUUAACCUUCGGGAGGGCGCUUACCACUUUGUGAUUCAUGACUGGGGUGAAGUCGUAACAAGGUAACCGUAGGGGAACCUGCGGUUGGAUCACCU